This 440-nucleotide ribosomal RNA is filed under the name Kingella oralis. RNAcentral describes it as "bacterial SSU rRNA". It matches the Rfam family "Bacterial small subunit ribosomal RNA", at positions 30 to 464 of the family's 1533-position model. The record is from RNAcentral. Lineage: Bacteria; Pseudomonadati; Pseudomonadota; Betaproteobacteria; Neisseriales; Neisseriaceae.
AUUGAACGCUGGCGGCAUGCUUUACACAUGCAAGUCGAACGGCAGCACGAAAGAGCUUGCUCUUUUGGUGGCGAGUGGCGAACGGGUGAGUAAUGCAUCGGAACGUACCGAGUAAUGGGGGAUAACUAUCCGAAAGGAUAGCUAAUACCGCAUACGCUUUGAGAAGGAAAGUGGGGGCUCUUCGGACCUCACGUUAUUCGAGCGGCCGAUGUCUGAUUAGCUAGUUGGUGGGGUAAAGGCCUACCAAGGCGACGAUCAGUAGCGGGUCUGAGAGGAUGAUCCGCCACACUGGGACUGAGACACGGCCCAGACUCCUACGGGAGGCAGCAGUGGGGAAUUUUGGACAAUGGGCGCAAGCCUGAUCCAGCCAUGCCGCGUGUCUGAAGAAGGCCUUCGGGUUGUAAAGGACUUUUGUUAGGGAAGAAAAGGAUAGUGUUAAU